AAGAGAAGUGUGGUCCUGCUGCUAUUUGCUUUGUUUCUUUCUUACCUGAUAUUCUGGACUCAAAAGCUGAAGGAAGGAACAAGUAUCUAGAGAUGUUAUUAUCAGUUGCAGAGAAGUUUAAGAGGGACCCUUACAGGUAAAAGCUAUGAACACCAUCUAUUCUAUUUUUGUUACUAUCAUAAUGUUCCAGCCCUCAGUUUCGCUGUUUUUGAUGCAUUCAAACGGCAUGGAGAAACUGAACAAAAGUUUGAGUUUUUCUACUGUUGUAAGGCUAAAUCCCAAAUGAUGUUGAUGAAUAGUGCUACAUAAACUAGUUCUGGGGAAUUAUCUCCUGGAAAAUGGAAUUAGAGAUAGAUGGAAGGUGAUGUCCUGCGAUCAUGGGAUGUAAAUCACCUUGAAUUUGAAUCUUUCUAGUCGACAGAUUUUCAUGGUUUAAGAUUGGAAUAGAAGUGGCAGGACUUUUGCUUCUACAGCAUCUGAACAUGGUUAUUCUUCUUCCGUGAUUUCUUUUCCUGAUUUUGACUGUGUUUGCAGCUUUGUGUGGGUUGCUGCUGGGAAGCAGCCUGAUUUGGAGAAGCGUGUUGGUGUUGGAGGAUAUGGUUAUCCAGCAAUGGUAGCCUUGAACGCAAAGAAAGGAGCCUAUGCUCCACUUAAAAGCGGUUUUGAGGUUAAACACCUUAAGUAAGUUUGUUUUUCUCUCUUAUCUUUUUUGCUUUUAAAUAAAGUACAAAACCAACAGUCCAUGCGUUUUUUGGUAGCGAGCUGAAAACGGGUCUUAUUCUCUUUUGUGUUAUCAGAGAAUUCGUGGAGGAAGCUAAGAGAGGAGGAAAAGGAAAUUUGCCAAUAGACGGGACAAUGGAGAUAGUGAAGACAGAAGCUUGGGAUGGUAAAGACGGAGAGGUGGUUGAUGCAGAUGAGUUCUCUCUUGAAGAACUCAUGGCAGAUGAUUGAUGAUACUGCUGCCUCCACUGAGUCAACAGACGAGUUUUGAACAACUAGUAUGGUUUUGGUUUCUUGAAGGACUGUUAAAAUGCCACACAAGAUUUCAGAGUUAGAAAUUCACUUUUGGAUAUAAUAUAGAUACAAAAACUUUUGUGUGAAUGUUUCAGCUCUCUCAAGUAUAUCGUAACUUUUACUGAUUUAUUAGACAUCUAGCCAAUUGAUUGGAUUUAUAGCAGGUCUAUCCAACAAGCUGCCGUUUAACCGAAAAAAUGGCGGACCAAUGAACUACUUUAACCGACUUCUAGACAGUAGUAAUUACAACGAUUACUUAGUUCAUAUAGAAAGUAGCAUACACAGUUUAGUCAAAACAUAAAAUACAAAAGUAAUAUACAAAGCUUUGUUCUAGUUGAGUCCCUGGUCCGAAUACCAGACCAGAACUGACACUAACAAUUGUAAAGCUACAACAACUUGCUUUUCCAAGGCGUAGAUCUUGGUAGACUCAAACGUGACGUGAUCGAAGCUGUUGGGAUGAAUCCAAGUAGGCUACAUCGCUGCAAACUGCGAUUUCAGAGUUACGUUUGAGCAGAUGAUAUCCGCAUUCUGAAGUGUGAAUCCUCGGAUUAUAGGCAAAAGGAAUCCCUUUCCUAGAUGGUCGUCUGCAUAUGGCACAAACACCAUUUGUAUUACAGUCCACACUAUUGGCUACAAGAUGGGAACAAGAUAAAUGAAAAGAAUGAAUGAAAUCUUUCUGAUUCAAACAUAUGAAUGCAUGAAAACGCUUGAGAUGGUGAUUCUUGCCAAAGUAUCUAAAAUACACUGGUUCACACAAGACGAGGCUAUGAGACCCAUUUGUAUCAAUUCUAGUGAAGUUGGUACACGCAGGCUUCCCCUUCAUCUUGUUAUCGUCACCACUAGAAUUUACUUGAAGUCUCUUAAUUGGAAGACUUUAUGCUCUGUAUCAAGAGGCGUAAUGUGGCUUUACCUCUGCUAGGCUGUACAAGUCUCUACAAAGCAACGUGCUUUUCCCUGCAUAAGUUUCAGAUUUAGACAGAGACUUAUGUUAUAGUAUAAGGGCUUUAGACAUGAACAAAUCAUCUUAGGAUUGUUAAAAUGAUUGACCUGAGCCACUGAGACCUAAUCUAAGCUAUCACCGAAACUCAUAGAAACUAAACCACCAAGAAAUAGCAUCCAAUCUGCAAAGAAACGUUCAUUAACAUGACCAGUCUUCUUGAAAUUUCCCAAAGAUAUAAACAAGGAGGAGACGCUAAUUUUCCAUACAAUCUACCUUUGAAGCUUAUCAGAAUCCAAUGGAACAGAAUAAUAUUGAGAUUAUGUUUCAAUUCUACACUGAUAUAUUCGAGCUUGCCGCUUGCAUUCACAAUCGAGACGCAAUCAUCCUCUGUUUAAUCCAAAUCUUAAGAGCCGGAUUAUUUCAUCAUUAUAAAAAAUAUAUAUACAUAUAAAUGGAAAAAAUAAAAACCAAAACGGCAUCAGAUAACAAGCAAAACGCAAGCAUUAAAAAACGAUGUUAAUAAGUGGAGCUAGCAACAUGUCUACUAUUUGCUCAAAAUAAACAUCAAAACGACAAUCUCAUACAAAAUAAAACGCAACCUACUCGCUCACUUUUAAAUUUUGGCCAAAAUAGAGCAAAAUUGAUGGACUAACGCGCGCAACGCGCACCUGCUGCGAGUGGGUAUUAAUUUCUUUGUUUUUUUUUUGGUCAAACUGAUAUUUUUUUCUUUUGUCGUGGUCAAAAUGAUGUUAAUUCCUUAUUUCAUUUCUAUGUCCCCAAACGAUAUGUUACACAAAAAAACAAAAAUUUAGAAAGAAGAUUGAAGAUCAAUAUACCUGGAUUGUAAAUAACCGAAAUGUGAUUCCUUGAUAGCAUCAGCCUGUUUUGACCAAUUACUCGUGAAGAUUUUGACAGACUUGGAUUUCGAGGCUGUCUAAGAGCUGCAGCAAAGCACAAGAAGAAGAAGAAACCAGAAUCCGUUAUCAAGCACACAAUGACACCAAUCAACGGAAUUAUUAGGUGCUUUCGCCUUCUGAGGAAGACUACCCAAUUGGUAAAAGCAGCCCAGAGUAGCAAUCUAUUAUAAAAAUCCUUCCUUUUUUUUUUUAGUUUAAGUUGAACAUGGAACAAUAGCUAUGGCAUUGUUAGCAAACAAUUGUUGUGAAUAUGAUGAAAACGUAGGCAUACCUUUAUUGCAGAUCCUUUUAUUGGUACACUAAAGGGUUCUUAAAAUCUCUAAACACCACGUAGCGUACGUCUUCUCCCGUUGACUAAUACAAGUAGCAAAACAUUCAAUUCAAGAAUCAUCUACUACUGGUUAACUAGUACAGAAUAUUACAGCAAGCAUUGUGUCAUUUCAAGACUUACCAUACCAAUGAGAUGCAUGCCACUGGUAUUACUUGGUCUGCUUCUAGAACAUUGAUUACUAGGUCUGCGUCAACAUUAGCUCUGGACCUGUUGAAGUUACUGAACUAACUGGCCCGGUACUGUUCACAUCUGUAACUAUUUCCCUAAAUAUUGCUUUCAGAUGGUACUUGUCUCGAACACUCGUUGUGUGCUGAUUGAAUGGAUGUCAGGGAAGAGAAGUGUGGUCCUGCUGCUAUUUGCUUUAUUUCUUUCUUACCUGAUAUUCUGGACUCAAAAGCUGAAGGAAGGAACAAGUAUCUAAAGAUGUUAUUAUCAGUUGCAGAGAAGUUUAAGAGGGACCCGUACAAGUAAAAGCUAUGAACACCAUCUAUUCUAUUUUUGUUACUAUCAUAAUGUUCCAGCCCUCAGUUUCUCUGUUUUUGAUGCAUUCAAACGGCAUGGAGAAACUGAACAAAAGUUUGAGUUUUUUUUCUACUGUUUUAAGGCUAAAUCCCAAAUGCUGUUGAUGAAUAGUGCUACAUAAACUAGAUUUUGGGAAUUAUUUGUUGGAAUAUGGAAUUAGAGAUAGAUGGAAG
RNAcentral lists this long non-coding RNA (3897 nucleotides) under Eutrema salsugineum. Its description in RNAcentral is "long non-coding RNA (ESAL_LNC000663)". The record is from RNAcentral. Lineage: Eukaryota; Viridiplantae; Streptophyta; Magnoliopsida; Brassicales; Brassicaceae.